RNAcentral lists this ribosomal RNA (1396 nucleotides) under uncultured bacterium. RNAcentral's name for it is "bacterial SSU rRNA". It matches the Rfam family "Bacterial small subunit ribosomal RNA". The record is from RNAcentral.
AGAGUUUGAUCCUGGCUCAGGAUGAACGCUGGCGGCGUGCUUAACACAUGCAAGUCGAACGGAGGACCCUUGACGGAGUUUUCGGACAACGGAUAGGAAUCCUUAGUGGCGGACGGGUGAGUAACGCGUGAGGAACCUGCCUUGGAGAGGGGAAUAACACAGAGAAAUUUGUGCUAAUACCGCAUGAUGCAGUUGGGUCGCAUGGCUCUGACUGCCAAAGAUUUAUCGCUCUGAGAUGGCCUCGCGUCUGAUUAGCUAGUUGGUAGGGUAAUGGCCUACCAAGGCGACGAUCAGUAGCCGGACUGAGAGGUUGACCGGCCACAUUGGGACUGAGACACGGCCCAGACUCCUACGGGAGGCAGCAGUGGGGAAUAUUGGGCAAUGGGCGCAAGCCUGACCCAGCAACGCCGCGUGAAGGAAGAAGGCUUUCGGGUUGUAAACUUCUUUUAUGAGGGACGAAGGAAGUGACGGUACCUCAUGAAUAAGCUCCGGCUAACUACGUGCCAGCAGCCGCGGUAAUACGUAGGGAGCGAGCGUUAUCCGGAUUUACUGGGUGUAAAGGGCGUGUAGGCGGGGAAGCAAGUCAGAUGUGAAAACCAGUGGCUCAACCACUGGCCUGCAUUUGAAACUGUUUUUCUUGAGUGAUGGAGAGGCAGGCGGAAUUCCGUGUGUAGCGGUGAAAUGCAUAGAUAUACGGAAGAACACCAGUGGCGAAGGCGGCCUGCUGGACAUUAACUGACGCUGAGGCGCGAAAGCGUGGGGAGCAAACAAAGAUUAGAUACCCUGGUAGUCCACGCUGUAAACGAUGGAUACUAGGUGAGGGGGGACUGACCCUUUCCGUACACGCAGUUAACACAAUAAGUAUCCCACAUGGGGAGUACGAUCGCAAGGUUGAAACUCAAAGGAAUUGCCGGGGGCCCGCACAAGCGGUGGAGUAUGUGGUUUAAUUCGACGCAACGCGAAGAACCUUACCAAGGCUUGACAUCUACUUAAGCUCAUGGAAACAUGAGGUCCCUUCGGGGGAAGUAAGACAGGUGGUGCAUGGUUGUCGUCAGCUCGUGUCGUGAGAUGUUGGGUUAAGUCCCGCAACGAGCGCAACCCCUGUUGCCAGUUACCAGCAAGUAAAGUUGGGGACUCUGGUGAGACUGCCGGGGACAACUCGGAGGAAGGUGGGGACGACGUCAAAUCAUCAUGCCCCUUAUGUCUUGGGCUACACACGUGCUACAAUGGCUGUAACAAAGGGAAGCGACCUUGUAAGAGGAAGCGGAUCUCAGAAAAGCAGUCCCAGUUCGGAUUGUGGGCUGCAACCCGCCCACAUGAAGUCGGAGUUGCUAGUAAUCGCGGAUCAGCAUGCCGCGGUGAAUACGAUCCCGGGUCUUGUACACACCGCCCGUCA